AAAAUUGUAAAUAGUUCAACUACAAUAAAAAUUCAAUCAACUACAUCCAUCCAUUCAGUUUUGUUACUCUGACGACAUCGGUGCAUCGCUUCGUUGAGUAGAGGUCGCAAAGGCUACAGAGCCCAAUCAUGAACAUCUUCAAAUGAAAAGGGGUAAGAGCAUCACCGUGGAAGUGCGAGAAAAGCUUUCAGAGAUGAAC
Molecule: long non-coding RNA, 199 nt
Filed under: Glycine max (soybean)
Lineage: Eukaryota; Viridiplantae; Streptophyta; Magnoliopsida; Fabales; Fabaceae
Description: long non-coding RNA (GMAX_LNC003681)
Source: RNAcentral